CUCCAGGUCGCCAAGUGGAAAGGCGUUGGUCUGCAAAACUAACUAUUCGUGGGUUCAAAUCCCACCCUGGAGUCCA
This 76-nucleotide transfer RNA is filed under the name Planktothrix sp. FACHB-1365. RNAcentral describes it as "tRNA-Cys". It matches the Rfam family "tRNA". Rfam says of the family: Transfer RNA (tRNA) molecules are approximately 80 nucleotides in length. Their secondary structure includes four short double-helical elements and three loops (D, anti-codon, and T loops). The record is from RNAcentral. Lineage: Bacteria; Bacillati; Cyanobacteriota; Cyanophyceae; Oscillatoriales; Microcoleaceae.